GAAGUCAAAGGAGUUAUGGAAACAUUGAAAAGGUCUGGACCGUGGUGAGAAAAUUGAGCUUUUGGUGGGUAAAACUGAAAACCUUCGCUCUCAGGCACAAGAUUUCAGGCAGCAGGGAACCUAGAUGAGGAGAAAGAUGUGGUUACAGAACAUGAAAUUAAAGCUGAUAGUUCUGGGAAUUCUGAUCGCCUUGAUUCUUAUGUGCUGUCCGUUUGUCAUGGCUUCAAA
Hibiscus syriacus is the source of this 228-nucleotide long non-coding RNA. RefSeq lists it as uncharacterized. The transcript is spliced from 3 exons. The record is from RefSeq and is a predicted model, not a curated record. Lineage: Eukaryota; Viridiplantae; Streptophyta; Magnoliopsida; Malvales; Malvaceae.